GGAAAAGUGUCUGAACCUUAGA
This 22-nucleotide non-coding RNA is filed under the name Arabidopsis thaliana (thale cress). The record is from RNAcentral. Lineage: Eukaryota; Viridiplantae; Streptophyta; Magnoliopsida; Brassicales; Brassicaceae.